Molecule: non-coding RNA, 87 nt
Organism: Folsomia candida
Lineage: Eukaryota; Metazoa; Arthropoda; Collembola; Entomobryomorpha; Isotomidae
Source: the annotation of a RefSeq genome assembly
GCCCAGCUGAGCCUCAGUGGUCUGGGGGAUAGACUUCAAAUCUAUCGAGCUAGAAAUAGCUAGAGGUUCAAUUCCUCCUGGUGGGCG